Suricata suricatta (meerkat) is the source of this 491-nucleotide long non-coding RNA. RefSeq lists it as uncharacterized. Lineage: Eukaryota; Metazoa; Chordata; Mammalia; Carnivora; Herpestidae. The record is from RefSeq and is a predicted model, not a curated record. The transcript is spliced from 4 exons.
AGUGGCAAAUUGGGAGGAGCAGGCUAGAGGGCGCCCAAGGAGAGAAUUCUGAUCCAGAGCCCAGGACGCCCAAGGAUCCUUCUCUUGGGACUUCUUUUAAAGCUCUUUAUAGUGUGGGACUUCUGCUUCCCCUCAGUGGGAGGGGUCAGCGUGGGAUGGAAGAAGGAAGCUCUCAGAAGCUAUUAUGAAUAAUUCUGCCAUGAAUCUGGUUGUGCGAAUAUCUCUUUAAGUUUCUGCUUUCAGUUCUCCCGGGAAUAUAUCCAGCCUUGGGAACUGCUCCACCAUAAGGGAAUUCUAUUUUCAAUGGUGAUUCUAACACCAAGAGAAAUGGGUUUUGAGGCAACCCUGGCCCGCUGUGGAGGCUGAGACCAUUCCUUCUUCCCCAACGCGCCCCCUUCUGGAUAAUGUAAGAAAUGCAAGAAAUGAACCCUUGUCCGCAUUAAACACCAGCCCCUCCCCCUCCGGAACCCCCCCUUCCACCUGCUGCCACC